RNAcentral lists this ribosomal RNA (251 nucleotides) under uncultured prokaryote. Its description in RNAcentral is "partial 16S rRNA". It matches the Rfam family "Bacterial small subunit ribosomal RNA", at positions 525 to 775 of the family's 1533-position model. The record is from RNAcentral.
ACGUAGGGAGCAAGCGUUGUCCGGAUUUACUGGGUGUAAAGGGUGCGUAGGCGGCAAUGCAAGUCAGAUGUGAAAUGCACGGGCUCAACCCGUGAGCUGCAUUUGAAACUGUGUUGCUUGAGUGAGGUAGAGGCAGGCGGAAUUCCCGGUGUAGCGGUGAAAUGCGUAGAGAUCGGGAGGAACACCAGUGGCGAAGGCGGCCUGCUGGGCCUUAACUGACGCUGAUGCACGAAAGCGUGGGUAGCAAACAG